This 426-nucleotide ribosomal RNA is filed under the name uncultured bacterium. Its description in RNAcentral is "partial 16S ribosomal RNA". It matches the Rfam family "Bacterial small subunit ribosomal RNA", at positions 354 to 796 of the family's 1533-position model. The record is from RNAcentral.
GUAGGGAAUUUUCCGCAAUGGGCGAAAGCCUGACGGAGCAACGCCGCGUGAGGGAAGAAGGUUUUCGGAUCGUAAACCUCUGUCUUCAGGGACGAGAGAGGACGGUACCUGAGGAGGAAGCCACGGCUAACUACGUGCCAGCAGCCGCGGUAAUACGUAGGUGGCAAGCGUUGUCCGGAAUUACUGGGCGUAAAGGGCGUGUAGGCGGCCAUUUAAGUUGGAUGUGAAAGCCCUGGGCUUAACCCAGGAAUUGCAUUCAAAACUGGAUGGCUUGAGGAUCGGAGAGGGCAGUGGAAUUUCCAGUGUAGCGGUGAAAUGCGUAGAUAUUGGGAGGAACACCAGUGGCGAAGGCGACUGCCUGGACGACCCCUGACGCUGAGGCGCGAAAGCUAAGGUAGCAAACGGGAUUAGAUACCCUAGUAGUCC